Molecule: unclassified non-coding RNA, 1389 nt
Filed under: Hevea brasiliensis (rubber tree)
Lineage: Eukaryota; Viridiplantae; Streptophyta; Magnoliopsida; Malpighiales; Euphorbiaceae
Source: RNAcentral
CUGUAUUGUUCUCACGGGCUAGCUUACUUAAGUGACUAAGCUUACAGACCCCUUCCACCAAAUCAGCUACCCCUGCUCCAAAUGUCCUAAAUAUAUAGUCAUAGCUUAAAAAAGAAUCGUCAAUAGUGUCAUGUAAAAGCCCUGCAGCGACCACUGUAGAGUUAGCCCCAAUCAUUGCGAGCAAAACUGCAGUCUCCACACAAUGCUGCAAAUAUGGAUCUCCACUUGCCCGCAUCUGUCCUCUAUGAGCUUUCUCAGCUUCAUAAAAAGCCUUCACAACAAAAUCUUCACAAAAGAUUUUGUGCCUCAUUUGCGCAACCAUCAGCAAUUCUUUGGCAUAAGGCUCGUUAUUAGCCUCCACAAAACUAUCCUCCAUAUUAAAUGUCAAUUCAUCCACAGCAAUAGAUGAAGAACCCCCAUCAGUUCCAACACUGUGAACAUCAAAACUCGGCGAAUCAUAAUCAACACAAGAUCCUAGCGCAUGUCUAACGAACCCAUUAAACAAUCCACUAGCCCCACUGCGAAAUGAACCAUGAAUUGAGCUUUGGAAACUCAUAUCAGCACUUCUUUCACGAGCAAUCCUCAUGGGAGGACUACUAGAACACGAGACUGGCCCUUGCAGCACCGAUAUUGGACUUUGAUCCCUCUUUAUAGAAGACCCACCGAGAUAUUUACUCGGUGAUAAGCGAAACGAACUGCUCAAUUCCUUCAAUUCCUCUCCUCUAUCAUGCCACAAAGAACCCAAUUCCUCUCUAUCACCCGAAAACGAUGAAUGUUUCACAGUUGAAGACGAGAACAAACACGACAAGCCACCUACCACAGAUUUCUGUGAAGAAGAUGAACUAGAUGAAGCUACCGAUGAAGAUCUCGAGGUCAGCUCAAAAUCAUACGUCGCGUGUGCAUUGAUUUGGCACGUAUGUGGUGCUGAACAUACGCUGCUAGGUGGGUUCGCAUACAAAGCUAUUGUUGAGACCGCCAUGGCUCUAUCGAAACCAGAAUUUGUUAUAGAUCACAAACCCAAAUGAAACCCAAACCAAGUAAUAUGUUCAACUCAAAUCAAAUUUUAACAAAAACCCACAAAUUUUUAUAAAAGAUUAUGUGUUCAUAAGAAUGACCCAGAAAUUUUUUAGAGAGAACCAAUUGGAUCUUGAUGAUUAAAAACCCAGGAGACCCCACACUGGCUCAUAGUUUUGUACAUAAACACAUCACAUCAACAAAUAAGCAGAGAACAGAAAAUUUGGAGAGAGCAUCUGUUGUUUUGGAGAGAUGCUACAGUAUGUACAAAUUUAUAGAAAUUUGCUUUGACUUGAGAGAUGAACACAGAAGAGAUAGAAAACUAAGGAGAAUUUACAGAAAUUAAGCCCCAAAUGUUGAAAUUUAAAGCAAAGA